This is a small nuclear RNA of Artibeus jamaicensis (Jamaican fruit-eating bat), 104 nucleotides long. The record is from RefSeq and is a predicted model, not a curated record. Lineage: Eukaryota; Metazoa; Chordata; Mammalia; Chiroptera; Phyllostomidae.
GUGCUCUCUUUGGCAACACAUAUACUAAAGUUGGAACAACACAAAGACUAGCAUGGCCCCUGAGCAAGGAGAUGCAAUUUCAUUAAGCAUAUCAUUAAAAAAAU